This 304-nucleotide RNase P RNA is filed under the name uncultured Anaeroplasma sp. Its description in RNAcentral is "Bacterial RNase P class B". It matches the Rfam family "Bacterial RNase P class B". From Rfam's summary of the family: Ribonuclease P (RNase P) is a ubiquitous endoribonuclease, found in archaea, bacteria and eukarya as well as chloroplasts and mitochondria. Its best characterised activity is the generation of mature 5'-ends of tRNAs by cleaving the 5'-leader elements of precursor-tRNAs. Lineage: Bacteria; Bacillati; Mycoplasmatota; Mollicutes; Anaeroplasmatales; Anaeroplasmataceae. The record is from RNAcentral.
AUCGUGUUAGGAAAGUCCAUGCUAGCACAAUCUGAGAUGAUUGUAGUGUUUGUGCUGAUUUAAUAAAUAAGGUCAGGAACCAUAUGGUUACGGCGGAAGAAGCCUAAGUCAUUGAUAUGGUGUAUUCUAUAAAGUGCCACAGAAACGAAUUUUUUGGAAACGAAAAAAUGAAACGUUGGUAAACCCCGCAAGCUAGAAACCCAAAUUUUGGUAGGGGAGUCCUAUUAAGCAAACUCAAGUAAGAUAGGGACGAGAAAUCGUAGAUAAAUAGCUACCACCGAAAGGUACAGAACAUGGCUUAUAA